AAGUCGUAACAAGGUUUCCGUAGGUGAAGGAUCAUUAACACGUAUCCAACGUUAAACCCCCCUGUGAACUUUUAUACUUGCUCUCUUAACUGACGGAAUUGCAAUCCCUGGUAAAUCAUUGUUUUUGAACAGAUUUUGAUUCAGGGACCUCAGUUUGGCAGUUAGGAUUGAGCGAUCGUUGGAAGUGGCCUGGGUAAGGAUAACGCUUUUCGAUCACUAGAGGCCGACACGUGACCAGGUUGCCGUGGCUUCGGCCCCCUAGGAAACUGCUGGGCAACAAAACGAACAACUGUUCACAAUGGAUAUCUUGGUUCUC
Molecule: unclassified non-coding RNA, 316 nt
Filed under: fungal sp.
Lineage: Eukaryota; Fungi
Description: partial internal transcribed spacer region
Source: RNAcentral